Long non-coding RNA from Bos taurus (domestic cattle), 415 nucleotides. NCBI's taxonomy places the organism in Eukaryota, Metazoa, Chordata, Mammalia, Artiodactyla, Bovidae. The record is from Ensembl.
GAGGUUCUUCCCAAAGUUUCUCCAUUAAAAGCAAUUGUUGUUGUUUACAGCCACUCAGUUGUGUCCGACUCUUUUGCAGCCCCAUAGACUCGUCUGCUAGGCUCCUCUGUCCAUGGAGUUUUCCAGGCAGGAAUACUGGAGUAGCUUGCCAUUUCCUUUUCCAGGGGAUCUUCCUGACUCAGGAAUCAAACCUGCAUCUCCUGCAUUGGCAGGAUGUUAUGCAGGCUGUGGUGAUGCAUUGAGCUGUUACAUCUCCCUGGUUUUACAGACUUUGUCGUUUAUUCUCAGGAGAAACUUGGUUAAGCACGGUCAGUUGUAUAAACCUAAACAAAGUUCUAGCUUCUCUGAGCCUCAGGUUUCUGCUGUAAAAUUAAAAAAAAAAAUUUUGGGGGGGGCAAGAUCCAAUAAACUCUUG